GGCAAAUCCCAAGCCGCUGUAUGGCAGGAUACAGACCAAGACGACAACCUUGGUUAGCUCACCUGUCUUCGGGGCGGUAAGCCACAGGGCAUCGCCGGCGAAGUCAAUCUGCAUCUCUUCCCCAGGAAUAUAGGUGUUAUGGAAGCUGAGGUUGUGUGAGUACUGAUACUCACGGAUUGACUUCUUGAACUGGGUGUAUCCAUAUCCGUCGGGAUGCUCCUUCUUGUAUGACUCGUGCAGGGCUUGAAUGGUGAGGUAGCGGUUAUGCGACAAGUCUGACACAUAUUCAGGCAACAGCCCGUCCAGCACCUGACGUUGGGAAGAUGGGGCUGCUGUGUAGUCCAGUAUGUGAAGCGAAAUGCAGCAUAGCGGUAUCCUGAGUAACGCGGGACACGAGGAAUCCUGCGCGAAUCUGCCGGGACCAUCCGGUAAGGCUAAAUACUCCCGUGAGACCGAUAGCGAACGAGUACUGUGAAGGAAAGGUGAAAAGAACCCCGAGCAGGGGAGUGAAAUAGUUCCUGAAACCAUACGCCUACAAGCGGUCGGAGCAUCGCAAGAUGUGACGGCGUGCCUUUUGCAUAAUGAUCCUACGAGUUACCGUCACUGGCGAGGUUGAGUGUCAUGAGACACGUAGCCGCAGUGAAAGCGAGCCUGAAUAGGGCGCACAGUCAGUGGGGGUAGACGCGAAACCAAGUGAUCUACACUUGGCCAGGAUGAAGUCCCGGUAACACGGGAUGGAGGUCCGCACCAAUAAGCGUUGAAAAGCUUCUGGAUGAGCCGAGUGUAGGAGUGAAAGGCCAAUCAAACUUGGAGAUAGCUCGUACUCCCCGAAAGGCAUUUAGGUGCCGCGUCGGAUGGUCACCGUGAGAGGUAGAGCGACCGAUAGGACAAGAGGGCUUCACCGCCUAUCGAGUCCUGACGAACUCCGAAUGCUCACGGUCUGCAGUCCGGCAGUAAGGGGGCGGGUGCUAAGGUCCGUCCCCGAGAGGAGAAGAAUCCAGACCGCCGUCUAAGGUCCCGGAGUUCUGCCUGAGUUAGUCUAACGAAGUCUGGUCCCUAUGACAGCUAGGAUGUUGGCUUGGAAGCAGCCAUUCAUUCAAAGAGUGCGUAACAGCUCACUAGUCGAGGGUCCGGGCAUGGAUAAUAAUCGGGUAUAAGGCAGACACCGAAGGCGCGGGAUAGCAAUUUUAAAAGUAUCGGUAGGGGAGCAUACUCACAGCGUCGAAUGGUGUACGUAAGUUAUCCUGGAGCGGUGAGUAAAGCAAAUGUAGGAAUAAGUAACGAUAAGGAGGGUUAGAUUCCCUCCCGCUGUAAGACCAAGGUUUCCCGGGCAAUGCCAAUCAGCCCGGGGUCAGUCGGGUCCUAAGUCUAAGCCGAACGGCGAUGGCGAUGGCAGAGACGGUUAAUAUUCCGUCACUGCCGCAUGGGGCGACGUGGAGACGGAGCAGUGAAACCACCGCGGGGCGACGGAAGUCCCCGUUGAAGGGUGUAGGCGUUGAGGAAGGCAGGCAAAUCCACCUUCCGAGCUGAACCUGACAGUACGGAGUCCUCCUCGGAGGAAUCUGAUAGUGUGGGUAAUCAUACUCCCGAGAAAAUCCGCUAAGCUUAACCCAUGCGGCACCCGUACCGCAAACGGACACACGUGGUCGGGUAGAACAUACUAAGGCGUUGAGAGAUUCAUGGUUAAGGAACUAGGCAAAUUGACCCUGUAACUUCGGGAUAAAGGGUCCUCGUGAUGAGCGAGGCGCAGAGAAUAGGUCCAGGCAACUGUUUAACAAAAACACAGGGCUGUGCAAACUCGAAAGAUGACGUAUACAGCCUGACACCUGCCCGGUGCCGGAAGGUUAAGAGGAGAUGUCACUCGCAAGAGGAAGCAUUGAAUUGAAGCCCCGGUAAACGGCGGCCGUAACUAUAACGGUCCUAAGGUAGCGAAAUUCCUUGUCGGGUAAGUUC
RNAcentral lists this ribosomal RNA (1953 nucleotides) under human gut metagenome. RNAcentral's name for it is "bacterial LSU rRNA". It matches the Rfam family "Bacterial large subunit ribosomal RNA", at positions 1 to 1983 of the family's 2925-position model. The record is from RNAcentral.